UACAAACUUUUGAAAAGAAACAAGCAUAAUACAAUGAACAUUUUCUUUGUCAGAUUGAUGUGUUGUAGAUAUGAGCAAACCCUUUAUUCAUUUUAAGGCCCCUCCUCAGCCAUUUUUGUCUCACCAACUUUUAGACACACAAUGUAAAUUCAAUCAUUCAAACUUCAACUAAACAGUGCUAAUUUAAAACAAAUUUUAUAUCAAGAUGCUUUACAAAAUGUUAACUUAUACGCAAAGACCCAUCUUCAAUCUCAUUCUGUCUUAAUCCACUAUGAGCAGAGAAACUUGCAGUAUUCAGUAACUUACAGUGGCAAAUAAAAGGUUCCUUUGAACCGACAGAAACCCUGAACAGAAGCAGAAUUACGCUGAACAAACAUCUGCUGUGUUGGGAUUUGAAGGAGGGUAGAUGGAACUUCCAGUCUUUACAGCAAAGCUUAUCAUGUUUAAAACCUGGUUGAAUUUUUUAAAAUUGUUUUGGCGUUCAUUUUUCACAGUGUAAGGGUGUCAGGAAAUCAGGUUUAAUCAUACUUCACUGGUUUGAAUGAUUUCAAGUCUUGUAGUUCCCCAUGGUAAGGGACAUAAGACCAGCUGGUUGUCAUAUUAGCUGAUUCAAGCCUCUUGACAUUUUGACUGCUUUUUAGGUGUUGGUGCCUUGUAAGCUUGCUGUGCUGUUAUUUUAGUGACCCGUCAAGCAGGGAGAAAAAAAUCUGGUACAAUAUCAGAGACAUGUCAGCAGGACUGACAGGAGCAGAUGUUUUCCGGUAGGCUCACUCAGUAUUUGUCAAAUUUGAGAAGGUCUGUUUAUAAAAGUGAGGAUUGUUGUCAGCUUUUUGUUUCUAUGGAAAAAAGACAAGAGACUCUAGGCAUGAAGACACAUCUGAGCCUAAAGUAUUUGGUAUUCAACAUUCACUCAUUCAUAUCUAUGCCUGGCAUUCUGUUAACCAACUCUCAGCCUUUUUAGUCUUAACAACUUUAAUUUAUCUUAUUAACAAGCUUAAUGCUCAGCUAAUGAACCAGCUGGAGGCAUGAACUGGAUAGCUCUAAUAGCUGAUCUGAUAGCCCAUCCAUCCAUCCAUCCAUCCAUUUAUCUACUUUGCAUUAAUCCACCCAUCCAUCCAACCAUGCCUCCAUGUAUCCAUGCAUCUAUUCACCCAUUUAGUUAUUUAAUUAUUUAUCCAUCCAUUCAUCCAUCCAUCCAUUCAUUCAUCCAUCCAUCCAUGAAUGGGGAGUUGCCAGUCCUAAAUCUGUGUGAAGUAGAUUAGAUUAGAUAUUGGAAUAUUUGUCCUUUGGGAUUUUCCUCAAGAGUUAGUGGUGAAAAAAUUGUUUGUUCAGAGUCAAAUCCCCAAUUUCUCAAUUCAAGUCCACUUCAUUAAUAGAAUCAUUAGACACUAAAAAAUCCCUGCUUUACCCCAGCUUGAACCUGAACUGACUGGGUGGGACCUUCUGGAUGUUUUCAAUUUUACAAAAAGGAGUCAGCUUGUGGCUCUGUGCGAAAGAUGCAGGAAGAAUGGUACCAGUGUACAAUGAAAAACUGAUUCUGUAAUGAGAACAUCUAAAGUUCUCCACAGUGAGAGGUGUGUGUGUGUGUGUGUGUGUGUGUGUGUGUGUGUGUGUGUGUGUGUGUGUGUGUGUGUGUGUGUGUGUGUGUGUGUGUGUGUGUGUGCGUGUGUGUGUGUGUGAGUGUGUGUGUGUGUGUGUGUAUUUUACAAGGAACAUUAAUAUAUGAAGGUUUUGUGACAAGUGUACUCAAUGACCUCUUUUCUUUGCAUUCAUUCUUGUAUCUUUUUUCUUUUGGUAAAGACUAAAGUGGGUCAAUAAUUUCAGAAAAUAUUAUCAGGGCUUUUAUUGCUUUUGUAGAGAGAGGACAGGACAGUGGACAAAGCAGGAAAUGGGGAGUGAGUGGCUGGAAUCAGGCCUGGACCUUGAGGCACAUCAUCCAUAUAUAGAGUGUGUGAGAGAGUGCUGGGCUGGUGAUAUGCCAAAUACACCUGCAGUAGUAAGACCACUGAGAACAUAUACAGCUGAACAUGAGAAAAUUUUAUAAGCUGUAAAGAAAGUAAAACCUUCUCUGAACAUUGACUCUCCAGAUACGAGCUGUGAGCCAUUAGUAGCUUUUGUGCAGAUUUGUAGAGAAAAGUUCUUACUCUUUGUACCAAAACAAAACUUUAUAGACAUCAUCUGAUGUCUAUGAAGUACAGCUGAAGUUUGAGCCCAUGUCUUGCCCUCGAUUCUUUAGUAUAUCAAACCUGUUGUACCCUCUUUCAGCACCCUGACAGGAACUGUUGCUGAACAUAUGCUGCCAUUCAGAUACCAAUUCAGAGUCCUGCCAGCAGUCCUGACUAUAUUCACCUGUGAUAAACAUUUUACCGAUCAUAACCCAAAAAUCAUGACAAAGUAGACCUUAAUCUGUUGAGCAUCUGAAAUCUUCCCUUAACCUGUAAAAAAAAAAAGGUCAUCAAUGACCAGCAUAGGUUUUUUUUCUUCCUUAUCAAAAUAUAAUGAUAUUUAGUAAAAGUGUUUUCAUGCUCUGUAAAGGAACCUAAGACAAACUUUAUAUUUCAGUACACAAAAAAAGACUUUACUUGACAUUUACUGUUUUGUAUGAAAUACUAAAGCUUUUAGAUAUGAAUGCUAAAGUGUGUGUUUAUAUGUCGGUGUGUGCAAAGGGGGUUAUUCUUAAACAUCUUAAGCAACAGCUCAGAUUUGUUGAGCAGUUGUGAUGAUGGGGAGAAAAGCCUUGUCAUCAUGAAAUCCCGCUGGGAUGAACAUUUUGGAGACUUAAAAUGAAGUCUUGAAUUCCAUGGAAAAAUCCAGACUGGUUUGUGUAUCAAUGUUUUUGGGGCAUUUCUCCUCAUGAUCUAUCUUUGUAAUUGUAACAUCAUCAUCCAUGACCCCAGUGACCCAGCUUGAGAAUUACAGUUGUGUGGUACUGCAAGUGGAUGAGUUUGUGCAGGGAUAUGAAGAAUUCAUCCUAUUCUAUCUGUGUGUGUGUGUGUGUGUGUGUGUGUGUGUGUGUGUGUGUGUGUGUGUGUGUGUGUGUGUGUGUGUGUGUGUGUGUGUGUGUGUGUGUGUGUGUGUGUUGAGUGGGGGAGGCUGACAGCUGUGGACAGAUUAGGGCUGAGAUUUUCUGGGGGCAGCUCUUUGUGUGUUUGUUAUGUGCCUGUGUUUAAAGUAUUUUAGAGAUUAGUGCUGUGUGUUUACAGAGCGUGUUUGCAGUUUUUCUAUUCUUGAAAGUGUUUGUUUUUUUUUCCCACUAUCACCUUACCUCCAGUGCUGUGUGAUUCCUGCUGCCUGUGUCCCUGGUUUCACUAUCAGUGUUCAUAGAUGGCACCUACCUCAACAAUGUCAAAAUGUUUUCCCUGCAACAGCAAACCAAACACCCACUCAUGAACUUGCAGUACCUCACAGUCUGCCCAACUGUCCGCUGCAUUAAGAGGACAUUGUUAGAGCAGUAAAAUGCAGGUAAAAAUCCACUUGAGCACAUUGAUAAGGGUUAAAAUCAGCUCUCACUCCAAUUUCUGAUUUCACCAUUUAAAGCAGACUUACUAGUGCAGGUCAAAAUAUUAGAAGGUCUCUCAUAAUUUAGUUCAAAAAAGGAAACUUACAUAUGUUCUGGGAAGAGCCGGCCCAAGCCCCAAGGCAUAAGUGAACUAAGCGCCUGCUUCGGGCCCUGCAGCCAAUAGGGGGCCCCCAAGAGCAAUAAUUAAAUAAUAAUAAUAACAUAUACAGUGCAUCCGGAAAGUAUUCAUACCACUUCACUUUUUCCACAUUUUGUUAUGUUACAGCCUUAUUCCAAAAUGGAUUAAAUUCCUUUUUUCCCUCAAAAAUUCUACACAAAAUACCCCAUAAUGACAAAGCAAAAAACUUUUUUUUAGAACAUUCUGCAAAUUUAUUAAAAAUAAGACACUCAAAUGUUGCAUAUACACAAGUAUUCACACCCUUCGCUAUAAAACUCAAAAUUGAGCUCAGGUGCAUCCUGUUUCCACUGAUCAGCCUUGAAAUGUUCCUCCAACUUGAUUGCAGUCCACCUGUGGCAAAUUCAGCUGAUUGGACAUGAUUUGGAAAGCCACACCUGUCUAUAUAAGAUCCCACAGCUGACAGAGAACGUCAGAGCACAAACCAAGCCAUGAAGUCGAAAGAAUUGUCUGUAGACCUCCGAAACAGGGUUGUAUCGGCGCACAGAUCUGUGGAAGGUUACAGAAAAAUAUCUGCUGCGCUGAAGAUCCCAAAAAGCACAGUGGUCUCCAUCAUUAAGAAAUGGAAGACGUUUGGAACCACCAGGACUCUUCCUAGAGCUGGCCGCCAAGCCAAAAUGAGCAAGCAGGGGAGAAGGGCCUUGGUCAGGGAGGUGACCAAGAACCAGAUGGUCACUCUGACAGAGCUCCAGCGUUCUUCUGAGGAGAUGGGAGAACCCUACAGAAGGACCACCAUCUCUGCAGCACUCCACCAGUCAGGCAUUUAUGGUAGAGUGGCCAGACAGAAGCCUCUCCUCAGUAAAAAGCAC
This 4504-nucleotide long non-coding RNA is filed under the name Xyrichtys novacula (pearly razorfish). The record is from RNAcentral. Lineage: Eukaryota; Metazoa; Chordata; Actinopteri; Labriformes; Labridae.